GACGAACGCUGGCGGCGUGCUUAACACAUGCAAGUGGAGCGACGAACCGGGGCUUGCCCCGGGGCAGAGCCGCGAACGGGUGAGUAACACGUGGGUAACCCACCCCGAUGACCGGGACAACCCGAGGAAACUCGGGCUAAUACCGGAUGUGCUCCCUUCUCAUGAGGGAAGUGAGCAAAGGUAGCUUCGGCCUCCGCAUCGGGACGGGCCCGCGGCCCAUUAGCUUGUUGGUGGGGUAAUGGCCUACCAAGGCGACGAUGGGUAGCUGGUCUGAGAGGACGAUCAGCCACACUGGGACUGAGACACGGCCCAGACUCCUACGGGAGGCAGCAGUGGGGAAUCUUGCGCAAUGCGCGAAAGCGUGACGCAGCAACGCCGCGUGGGGGAAGAAGGCCUUCGGGUUGUAAACCCCUUUCAGUUGGGACGAAGCUUCGCCGGUGAAUAGCCGGCUGGAGUGACGGUACCUUCACAAGAAGCCCCGGCUAACUACGUGCCAGCAGCCGC
Molecule: ribosomal RNA, 504 nt
Filed under: uncultured bacterium
Lineage: Bacteria
Description: bacterial SSU rRNA
Rfam family: Bacterial small subunit ribosomal RNA
Source: RNAcentral